UUCAUAUUUUCAAAUAACUUUUUGUAUUUGUUUGGUGCUUUACAACCCAGUAUCUAUGUUAGAUCCUUUUUAUCUAACUCUCUUAUAUAUUAGUUUCCCCCUAAUCUCUUAGAUCGGUCCUCCUUCUCUUCCUUCUUUUCUUUUUUACAUUCACUAUUAUUAUCUUUAGCCAUUUCCCUAUGAGAACAAUUCUAUAUUUAUCAGAACCUUUUUUAUUUUCUUUGCUCCUUUGAAAUUAUUCAUUUUUCUCAAUUUGGCCAGUCAGUAUCUGUAUUUGCAACUCAGUUUGGAUCCUGUGUUGCCCCACACUAUUGGAGGUCAAGGGGGUCUUCUAAAUAGCACACAUCUUGUCAUCCAAGUUCUGAGUACAUUAAAAAUAAGACAAAAACAAAAGUGUAAGGCAUAUGGGAACCCAAAUGUGAUAUUUGUUACCGACAGAGCUGAUACUUGAAAAAUUGCCUACUGGUGGACAAGUGGGCUUUCUAAUACCAGUCCCCAGAAUUAGAUAACUAUACAAACCACAUCACAGGCAGUUCUGGAUGAUAGCAAAAGCCCCCUGACAGUGGGUGGCAAUGUGCCCGGAUAGUACCAUAUGGAAGCAGCACAGCCCCAUUGAGAUCUGCCUCAAGCUGAAGAUGAAAAGGGGGCCUCUGGAGUCGCUUGAUCGAGCAGAGUCUGAUAGAGUUAUCAGGCUUUUGCAGAUAGAAUGCCUACCACCGUAGGAUACAUUGUCAUAAUCAGUGUUUAGGCAAAACACCUGGACUUCUGCAAGGACUUUGUUUCUUGGCCUAGAUAGAUUCUUAUUACUUCUUUCUACUGAUCUUUCUGAUAGUUUUAAUGGAGCCAUAACCCACUUGGCUAGAUUUUAAGCAUUAUCUGCCUUUCCAAAUGAGCUUAUAAUGUUAAGGACAGUCCCAGAACGCCCCAGAUCAAAAUACACCAAAGGAAAAGAAAAGAGACUUGGGGGGAUACUUUCACACUGCAAGAUGAUGACAUAUACCCCCGAUUAAUCAAAUUCUAGCUAAUCAUAAAUGCCAAGGUGAUUUGAACAAAUGAAUUGCUUCAGCAUACUGAAACUCUGAUUUAAAUUCUCAGGCCUCCAUAAUUUCAGAAUCAAUAAACACUUAUUAUUGUUUCCAUUUGUACUGCUGAAUAAAUCACUGUGUAAUUUUACCUCUUAAUUCUUAAAGGUGUAAUAUAAAAAUAUUGAUUUUAAUAGUUUUUGUGCUAUUAAAAGGGUAUGUAAUUCAUACAUACACAACUCUUUGGCAUGGUGCCUAAGGCAGUGAAAUUGUUGCUGCAAAUAAUAUGUAAAAACCUUUUAUUAAAAAUAUUUUAUUAAGGCAUAACCAUCAUAAAGAAAUGUGUACAAAUUAUAAGUUUACAACUUGCUGGGUUUUUGCAAAGUGAAUACACCUGUAUAGUCAGUCUCUGGACUAAGAAAUAGAAUAUACCAGCACCCUAGGCACUAGCACCUGAAAAAAGAUAACCACAAUCUGACUUCUAACAUCACUAAUUAGUUUUGCAUAGUAUUGAACUUUAC
This 1543-nucleotide long non-coding RNA is filed under the name Homo sapiens (human). RNAcentral describes it as "non-protein coding lnc-NXPH2-3:4". Lineage: Eukaryota; Metazoa; Chordata; Mammalia; Primates; Hominidae. The record is from RNAcentral.